This 1848-nucleotide ribosomal RNA is filed under the name Candidatus Moranbacteria bacterium CG_4_8_14_3_um_filter_34_16. RNAcentral's name for it is "bacterial SSU rRNA". It matches the Rfam family "Bacterial small subunit ribosomal RNA". The record is from RNAcentral. Lineage: Bacteria; Candidatus Moraniibacteriota.
AGAGUUUGAUCCUGGCUCAGGAUGAACGCUGGCGGCGUGGAUAAGGCAUGCAAGUCGUGUGGGUUUAGACCCACGGCAAACGGGUUAGUAAUGCAUAGGAAUCUGCCUCAAAGUCGUGAAUAAUCCCGCGAAAGCGGGGAUAAUACACGAUAAUCUCUAUGGAGUAAAGUUGUGUUUCACUUUCAUUCAACAUAUUUUUUAAGUGUGUGUUAAAUUUGUGCGGGUCAUUUAAAUGGUGAAUGGUAGCGAGACACAACGCUUUGAGAGGAGCCUGUGUCCUAUCAGCUUGUUGGUAAGGUAAAGGCUUACCAAGGCUAUGACGGGUAGGGGGCGUGAGAGCGUGAUCCCCAACAUUGGAACUGAGACACUGUCCAAACACCUACGGGUGGCUGCAGUCGAGAAUAUUCCACAAUGGGCGAAAGCCUGAUGGAGCGACGCCGCGUGCGGGAUGAAGGCCUUUGGGUUGUAAACCGCUUUUGUAAGGGAAGAAUCCGUGCUUCACUUUUGUUCAGCACGAAAUUUUUAAUUUUCAAUGAAUUUUGAAUGUAUUAAUUUCCAAAUUUUUUAAACAUUUGAGAAUUUAAAUAUCAAGAAUUUAAUUAGAAAUUUCGUGGCGAGCGGGAGCGAGGUACGGUCUGACGGUACCUUGCGAAUAAGAGGUUGCUAACUCUGUGCCAGCAGCAGCGGUAAUACAGAGACCUCAAGCGUUAUCCGGAUUUAUUGGGCGUAAAGAGCAUGUAGGCGGCUUUGUUAGUCAGAUGUCAAAUCUCCGAGCUUAACUCGGAAACUGCAUUUGAAACGGCAAAGCUAGAGGAAGUGAGGGACCAGUGGAACGUAUGGUGUAGUAGUGAAAUGCGUUGAUAUCAUACGGAACAUCAAAGGCGAAGGCAUCUGGUUGGCACUUUUCUGACGCUGAGAUGCGAAAGCGUGGGUAGCGAAUGGGAUUAGAUACCCCAGUAGUCCACGCCGUAAACGAUGCAUACUAGGUAUUGGGAGAAUCGACCCUCCCAGUGUCGUAGCUAACGCGUUAAGUAUGCCGCCUGGGAAGUACGAGCGCAAGCUUAAAACUCAAAGGAAUAGACGGGGAUCCGCACAAGUGGUGGAGCAUGUGGUUUAAUUCGACAGUAAGCGAGGAACCUCACCAGGGCUUGAAACUAGACUGCAUAGUAUAGAAAUAUACUAGCCUUCGAGGGUGUCUAGCAGGCGUUGCACGGUCGUCGUCAGCUCGUGCCGUAAGGUGUUCUGUUAAGUCAGGAAACGAGCGCAACCCCUAUCGUGUGUUAUAAAUGUCACACGAAACUGCCCAGAACCGAACGCACUUCGUGCUUAAUUUUCAAUUUUCAAUUUAGAAUUUUCAAACAAUUUUCAAUAAUUUAAUUUUCAAAUUUAGAAAUUUAGUUAUUGAUAAAUUACCUGCCUGUCGGCAGGUAGAGACAUUGUUUAGAAAUUAGAAAUUAGAAAUUAGAAAUUGAGUGCUUAGUAAAGCGCGUUGGGUUCUGGGAGGAAGGCGGGGAUGACGUCAGAUCAGCGUGGCCCUUUGACGCCCUGGGCUACACACGUGCUACAAUGGCCGGUACAAAGGGUUGCCAAGUCGUAAGACGGAGCUAAUCCCAAAAAGCCGGUCCCAGUUCGGAUUGAGGUCUGCAACUCGACCUCAUGAAGUUGGAAUCACUAGUAAUCGUGAAUCAGCUAUGUCACGGUGAAUACGUUCUCGGAUCUUGUACUCACCGCCCGUCACACCAAGAGAGUCGGUAACACCCGAAGGCUCUGUUUCAAAGCAGGGACCACGGUGGGAUCGAUGAUAAGGGUGAAGUCGUAACAAGGCAUCCGUAGCGGAAGCUGUGGAUG